GGGCGCCGGCCCCGACCAGUCUCGCACCUUUAGCCGGGCGCCGGGAUUUCGGUCGAGGGGCUCAGGAAGAGACGGACCCUCGGGGUUUUGCAUCCGUGCGGCUUGCAGUCCGCCCGGGAAGAGCCAGGUGGAAGCCGCGGCGCUCGCUUGGCUUGCGGGAGAUGCGGCGAUGUUGGUCGCGGGGAGAGAGUAAUAAGGACUCGAGGGCUGGCAGGCGCCCCGGGAUGGCUUCUGGCUCGCUGGGGCUGCAGACUUCAAGGCAGCCGGAGGGCCCUCGCCCCCCCCGCUGCUUCCCAGAGAGCCCAGCUCCUUCCUCAGCUAUCCCCUUCAGCAACGGGGCAAAACCCGAGGGGACUUCAGCAACCGCAGCAGAGCGCACGAGGAGGUGAACUAUGAUGACAGACUUGGAGAUGAAUAUGGAGCCCAGUAUACUAAUAGGCCUUUGCCUCAUUCCGUGCCCAGGAUGGAUGCGACACGUUGAAUAGGCAUCUGUAGUCUGACAGUUUGUCUGCAGAUUUGCCUGGAGCUGAAGAUACAUCUUUUGACUCUAUCCCUGCUCUGCCACUAAGUUCCUAUGUUAAGAUACUGGACUAGUCACUUAAACCAAAGCAAAGUGGGCACCAAGAGCCUCUUUUUUAUGUUGUGGGUGCCUGACUUGAGUCACUUGAAAUCUCAUUUGUGAAAGACCUAAGCAUUCAUUGCAUGCAACUGCGGCAGAAUGUUGCAAAAAUGCUCAAUAUUCUGAACAAGAUAGACACUCAGCAACUCAAACUUAAAAAUAGUAGACAGUUCUGGCCAUGAUCUCCCUGGACUUCUUUUCCUGUAUGCAAAAUACUUCUUCCAGCAUGAAGACAGCGUGACAGUUACAAGUACGUCUUUAGGAUAUGGUAUUUUUGAAGUUUCAAAUCCCCAUCAUGACAAAAAAAAUCCCAACUCACAGUUCUGAGAGGAGGACCUCCCAUACAGCUUACAUGUGUUCAGGUUGUCCUAGGUAGUUGCUUGAAUGAGCCAACUUUUGGCAUUUCUAGGUCAUUUGUACACUCAGUUUAACUGGGAAACCUUUCCCUGUCAGGAUUUCAUCAAAACUGAAAACUUCCAGCAAAGAGCUUCAGUUUUGACAGAACUUUUCUUGUCAGACAACUGCUUGGUUCACGUUUCCUGUCUGGGCUCCUGAGACUAUGGCAGGACUCUAGAAAGAGUCUACCUGUCCUGCUGUACAAGUUUCUGUUUUCAAAGGUAUUUGCUCUGGGUGAAGUCAAACUAGGCUUGCAAAGGCACCUCUUUCAUCUGAACUCUGCUAUACCAGCUAUGGAUGCUCCACUGCUGCUGCGUUAGUAGAGCAUGCUCACCUGGCUCAGGUUGUUGUGCCAUGCAACAGACACAAUCUCCUUGGUCUCCAAUAACUCUGGGCCACCUAUCCAACUUGCAAGGCCUUCAGAUUUGCCCAAAAGGGUGUGCUGCUUCUGACUUAAAGUAGCCAAUUGGUACAACAUUAUAUAAAACAUUUGAAUAAAGCUUCCACCUAUGUAAAUA
Molecule: long non-coding RNA, 1533 nt
Filed under: Strigops habroptila (Kakapo)
Lineage: Eukaryota; Metazoa; Chordata; Aves; Psittaciformes; Psittacidae
Description: lncRNA (ENSSHBG00005004938.1)
Source: RNAcentral